UGUCUCCUGUGGUCUAGUGGUUAGAUCAUCCGCCUCUGAUGUAGAAGGUCGUGGGUUCAAACCCCGGCCAAGUCAU
Potamilus streckersoni is the source of this 76-nucleotide non-coding RNA. The record is from the annotation of a GenBank genome assembly. NCBI's taxonomy places the organism in Eukaryota, Metazoa, Mollusca, Bivalvia, Unionida, Unionidae.